This 497-nucleotide ribosomal RNA is filed under the name uncultured bacterium. Its description in RNAcentral is "partial 16S ribosomal RNA". It matches the Rfam family "Bacterial small subunit ribosomal RNA", at positions 28 to 507 of the family's 1533-position model. The record is from RNAcentral.
GAUGAACGCUGGCGGCGUGCCUAAUACAUGCAAGUCGAGCGAACAGACGAGGAGCUUGCUCCUCUGACGUUAGCGGCGGACGGGUGAGUAACACGUGGAUAACCUACCUAUAAGACUGGGAUAACUUCGGGAAACCGGAGCUAAUACCGGAUAAUAUAUUGAACCGCAUGGUUCAAUAGUGAAAGACGGUUUUGCUGUCACUUAUAGAUGGAUCCGCGCCGCAUUAGCUAGUUGGUAAGGUAACGGCUUACCAAGGCAACGAUGCGUAGCCGAACUGAGAGGGUGAUCGGCCACACUGGAACUGAGACACGGUCCAGACUCCUACGGGAGGCAGCAGUAGGGAAUCUGCCGCAAUAGGCGAAAGCCUGACGGAGCAACGCCGCGUGAGUGAUGAAGGUCUUCGGAUCGUAAAACUCUGUUAUUAGGGAAGAACAAAUGUGUAAGUAACUAUGCACGUCUUGACGGUACCUAAUCAGAAAGCCACGGCUAACUACGUG